This 343-nucleotide long non-coding RNA is filed under the name Trifolium pratense (red clover). RNAcentral describes it as "long non-coding RNA (TPRA_LNC007926)". The record is from RNAcentral. Lineage: Eukaryota; Viridiplantae; Streptophyta; Magnoliopsida; Fabales; Fabaceae.
AUCCCAUGUUAAAAACAAUUAAAAUUUUGCAAGAUAAAUUUCUAUAUAUUUAAUAAAUAUGACUGUGAAAAAAAUUCAAAAUUUCAUCAUUUUGAGAUUCUUAUAACAAAAUAAACAUAAAUAUGAAUAAAAAAACUCUUUUAGAAAUAUAAAGACUGCAUAUGAGUUGACUUAAAAACAAGAAUCAAAUAUUGUGACAAAAAAAUUUAAAGGACUAAAAUAUGUUAAAAAGAAUACAGGGACUAAAAAUAAAAUUUAAAAUAUUUAUAGAGAUGAAAAAUUUCUUUUAACUCUUUUAUAAAUAUAUUUUUUACCCGUGCUUGGCACGGGUCCGGAUACUAGU